Molecule: transfer RNA, 72 nt
Filed under: Camelus bactrianus (Bactrian camel)
Lineage: Eukaryota; Metazoa; Chordata; Mammalia; Artiodactyla; Camelidae
Also listed under: 2 other names
Rfam family: tRNA
About the family: Transfer RNA (tRNA) molecules are approximately 80 nucleotides in length. Their secondary structure includes four short double-helical elements and three loops (D, anti-codon, and T loops).
Source: Rfam by way of RNAcentral
GAGGGUGUAGCUCAGUGGUAGAGCACGUGCUUAGCAUGCACGAGGUCCUGGGUUCAAUCCCCAGCACCUCCG